Molecule: long non-coding RNA, 334 nt
Organism: Doryrhamphus excisus (bluestripe pipefish)
Lineage: Eukaryota; Metazoa; Chordata; Actinopteri; Syngnathiformes; Syngnathidae
Source: RefSeq, a predicted model, not a curated record
CUUGGAGACAUCCAUGUCCACUGAAGACAUCUGUGUCCACGUGUAGGAGAGUUCCACACAAUCAGGAAUAACAUCAUCAGGCUGAGUGUGGCGCUUCUGUUCCUGCUGAUCCCGCUGAUCCUGCUGAUCCUGCACUUUAGAACUUCACGCAGGAAGACAACCAUGGAACCAAAUGAGCUCGUUCAGGCUUCAGAGCCGAUGGACGAUGGCGACUAUGAGAUCAUCCGCACUGCAGACCUUCACCAUCCUUGGAGAACACUUCCUGUUACAUGUCAAGAAUGAAGUUUAAAAAGUAAAAAAAAAAAAAAAUACAUGGAAAUAAAUUGAAAAUAAG